This 253-nucleotide ribosomal RNA is filed under the name uncultured bacterium. Its description in RNAcentral is "partial 16S ribosomal RNA". It matches the Rfam family "Bacterial small subunit ribosomal RNA", at positions 524 to 776 of the family's 1533-position model. The record is from RNAcentral.
UACGUAGGGUGCAAGCGUUGUCCGGAAUUACUGGGCGUAAAGAGUUCGUAGGCGGUUUGUCGCGUCGUUUGUGAAAACCAGCAGCUCAACUGCUGGCUUGCAGGCGAUACGGGCAGACUUGAGUACUGCAGGGGAGACUGAAAUUCCUGGUGUAGCGGUGAAAUGCGCAGAUAUCAGGAGGAACACCGGUGGCGAAGGCGGGUCUCUGGGCAGUAACUGACGCUGAGAGACGAAAGCUAGGGGAGCGAAAGGG